AUUGAACGCUGGCGGAAUGCUUUACACAUGCAAGUCGAACGGCAGCACGGACUUCGGUCUGGUGGCGAGUGGCGAACGGGUGAGUAAUGUAUCGGAACGUGCCCAGUCGUGGGGGAUAACGAAGUGAAAAUUACGCUAAUACCGCAUACGAUCUAUGGAUGAAAGCGGGGGAUCGCAAGACCUCGCGCGAUUGGAGCGGCCGAUAUCAGAUUAGGUAGUUGGUGGGGUAAAGGCCCACCAAGCCAACGAUCUGUAGCUGGUCUGAGAGGACGACCAGCCACACUGUAACUGAGACACGGUCCAGACUCCUACGGGAGGCAGCAGUGGGGAAUUUUGGACAAUGGGUGAAAGCCUGAUCCAGCCAUUCCGCGUGCAGGAUGAAGGCCCUCGGGUUGUAAACUGCUUUUGUACAGAACGAAAAGGUUUCUACUAAUACUAGGAGCUCAUGACGGUACUGUAAGAAUAAGCACCGGCUAACUACGUGCCAGCCGCCGCCGUAA
This 500-nucleotide ribosomal RNA is filed under the name uncultured bacterium. Its description in RNAcentral is "partial 16S ribosomal RNA". It matches the Rfam family "Bacterial small subunit ribosomal RNA", at positions 30 to 523 of the family's 1533-position model. The record is from RNAcentral.